GUGCUUCAGCCCGGGCAGCCUUUCCUAACGGGCAAACCCUGGCAGAAACAUGCGCCCCCCCCGCACACACGCCAUUCCUAUGGCGAAAAAGCAUUGGAAGGGGGCGGCUGCCCAAAGCAGGGCUUUGGAGGGGGGGGUCUCCAUCCCUUGCCCAUUGUCAGCAGAGAGUCAAACCCUCGCAUCACCCCACUUGCUUCCCUUCAGGAGGGUGGGAGGUAUCCUGGCCCACCCCAAGCAGCCGCUCAGCCCGACACCAGAUUCGGGAAUCUAAUUCCCAUAUAUAGAGUUUUAAAGUGGGGGCCGGAGGCAUGCCAAAGGUUUUGGGCCAGAUCCGUUAAUUUAGCACCAACACUCACAAAAACUCUUCCCAAGCGCUCCUCGCUCUGGUGGGCGAGGGAGGCUGCAGGUGGGCGCCCGUCACACGCCUUCGGUCUCGGAAACCCUUUUUGGGCCAAAGUUGCCAGCCCGACCAAGACUCAGCAGAAGCUUCCUUCCCUGGCUGCUCCAUGGGCCAAAGUUGCCAGCCCGACCAAGACUUGGCCGAAGCUUCCUUCCCUGCCUACCUUUCCCAGUUCUGGCUGCUCCGGUUUCUGUUGGGCAAGAGGCGAGCCUCCCCCACCCCAUUGCUCCUUCCUGGUCCUGCUCUUUCCAGGCAUGGGGGGGUUGACGAGAGCCAGGUCGGAGAUCGGGGUGGCGGUGGGUUGGAUCACACCGCCCUCCCCGAUGCCCAGCUGGCUCCCUUGCUUUGGCACGAGGACCUGCAGAGGCGCCCGGCCACCUUGGGGGAGGAUGGUUUUUUUUUGGUGGUGGUGGGGAGCGGGCAAGAUUGUCCCCCACCCGGAUCCGGCUGCCCCAGCUUUCCAGCGCCACAGCCCACGAGGAGGUGUCUUAAGGAUCUGGAAGGAUGUCACCCACAGGGUGGCCAGCUGGAUGAAAGACCACCGCCUGGGAAGUUCUCCGCAAACGGGGGCUGAGCCCAGCCACCCUUUUUCCCGUACGUACCGGCCUGCGUUGCCCAUGGAUCCGUUUGGACGCUCGGCUAAGUCUCAGCCACAAAAGGGGGGCAAGAGACCCACGGCCUUUGUAGGCAAGGAUGGGGAUCAGAAGCUGGGCAGAAGAGCCUCCCUCGUUUGCCCCGACGGUGCCCAUUUCUAG
Molecule: long non-coding RNA, 1155 nt
Filed under: Pogona vitticeps (central bearded dragon)
Lineage: Eukaryota; Metazoa; Chordata; Lepidosauria; Squamata; Agamidae
Description: lncRNA (ENSPVIG00000012015.1)
Source: RNAcentral